CUGAAGCCAAAACCCUGAUCCCUUAUUACAUAAACGUCCCAUAUGCACAGGUAAAUCCAACUUUUCAGACACCAUUAUUAAACUUUUCUCAGUCAUGUUUGGGAGGCAUGGUAGCUACUGCUGCUGCAUAUGCCUGUGCUGCAUCACCUACUUCUUUAUCUUCCUAGCCUUCAUCAUAUUCUGGUUGAUCUUCCUUCCCCAAGAACCCAAGUUAGUCAUCACCGAUGCCUCUCUCACACAAUUCAAUUUCACCAGCACCAACAACACUCUCAACUACAACCUUACCCUCAACAUCAGAAACCCUAACAAAAAGGUAGGUAUAGACUAUCGACGCAUCCUAGUCAUUGCCAACUACAGGAAAAAGAGGUUUGCUUUGGUGAUCUUCCUUCCCCAAGAACCCAAGUUAGUCAUCACCGAUGCCUCUCUCACACAAUUCAAUUUCACCAGCACCAACAACACUCUCAACUACAACCUUACCCUCAACAUCAGAAACCCUAACAAAAAGGUAGGUAUAGACUAUCGACGCAUCCUAGUCAUUGCCAACUACAGGAAAAAGAGGUUUGCUUUGGUGAGAUUGAAUUCGACACAAUUUUCCAAGGCCACAAGAAUACGACAAUUGUGCAUGCAGAUCUUCAAGGGCAGCAAUUGAUGAGGUUUGGGGAAAGUGAUCUUUCCAAGUUUAACUCGGAGACUGCUACCAGGGUGUACAGCAUUGAAGUGAAGAUUGCUCUUCGGAUAGGAAUCAGGUUCGGAAAGAUGAAGACGGGUUAUUUCAAGAUUCCACGGAAGAGUGACUGCAAGUUCAAGGUUCCUUUGAGUACUUCAAUUAAUG
RNAcentral lists this long non-coding RNA (832 nucleotides) under Malus domestica (apple). Its description in RNAcentral is "long non-coding RNA (MDOM_LNC013639)". The record is from RNAcentral. Lineage: Eukaryota; Viridiplantae; Streptophyta; Magnoliopsida; Rosales; Rosaceae.